UGGCGCGGGUUACAGCGUUUUAAUAACGGUGUCAUGGGGUGUCGGGGGUCGGAGGUUCAAAUCCUCUCGUGCCGACCA
RNAcentral lists this transfer RNA (78 nucleotides) under Klebsiella sp. KG9. RNAcentral's name for it is "tRNA-Pro". The record is from RNAcentral. Lineage: Bacteria; Pseudomonadati; Pseudomonadota; Gammaproteobacteria; Enterobacterales; Enterobacteriaceae.